Molecule: ribosomal RNA, 254 nt
Filed under: uncultured bacterium
Lineage: Bacteria
Description: partial 16S ribosomal RNA
Rfam family: Bacterial small subunit ribosomal RNA
Source: RNAcentral
UACGUAGGGGCCUAGCGUUGUCCGGAUUUAUUGGGCGUAAAGAGCUCGUAGGCGGUUCGGCAAGUCGGAUGUGAAAUCUCCACGCUUAACGUGGAGGGGCCAUUCGAAACUGCCGUGACUCGAGUCCGGUAGGGGAGUGUGGAAUUCCCGGUGUAGCGGUGAAAUGCGCAGAUAUCAGGAAGAACACCCGUGGCGAAGGCGGCUCUCUGGGACGUGACUGACGCUGAGACGCGAAAGCGUGGGGAGCGAACAGG